UCUUGACAUUUGGGGAAUAAGUAACAUGAUGUAUUUUUUUAGACUGAGUUUGCAACCGAUCAUAAAACACCCAAUUAAUAGAGGCUUAUGUCAUAAAGCAUUUGUUUACAUAAGGAGUCCAGAGUUAGGCAUUUUCAACACCUUAAACUUUGGAUAUACUUCCAUUCCACCACUUUCAAUAUGUUGUCAUUUGUCUAUGACUUCAUAUUGCCCCACAGCAGCAAAAUAAAUUCCUUUUUAUAUAACUUUCUCAGUGAGGAAAAUAUACUUGCCCUUUGGUAUUUUGGGGUGAUUGGUUCAGGAACCCCUGAAGACACUAAAUUCCCUUGAAUGCUCAAGUACCUUAUAUAAAAUGGUACUGUAUUUGCAUAUAACCAACACAGCUCUCCUAUACACUUUAAAUCAUUUCUAAACUACUUCUAACUCAUAAUAAAUUGUAAAGGCUAUGCAAAUAGUUGUUA
RNAcentral lists this long non-coding RNA (461 nucleotides) under Marmota monax (woodchuck). The record is from RNAcentral. Lineage: Eukaryota; Metazoa; Chordata; Mammalia; Rodentia; Sciuridae.